Molecule: ribosomal RNA, 279 nt
Filed under: Rhipicephalus turanicus
Lineage: Eukaryota; Metazoa; Arthropoda; Arachnida; Ixodida; Ixodidae
Description: partial 12S ribosomal RNA
Source: RNAcentral
AUUAUGAAAGCAAAAAAUUAUGGCGGUAUUUUAAGCUUUUCAGAGGAAUUUGCUCUUUAAUGGAUAAAACACCUAAAUCUUACUUAAAUUUGUUAAUUCAAUUUGUAUACCACUAUAAAAACAAUUUAUAACUUUAAUUGUUGGUAUUUAUUAAAUUAAAAUAUAUUAAGUCAAGGUGCAGUAAAAAUUUAAGGAUGAAGUGAAUUACAUUACUUUUUAGAGAAAUAAAUUUAAAAUAAUAUUUAGGAUUUGAAAGUAAAAUUAAAAUAUAAUGUUAAU